AGGUGAACCUGCGGAAGGAUCAUUAAAGAGUAAGGGUGCUCAGCGGCCGACCUCCAACCCUUUGUUGUUAAAACUACCUUGUUGCUUUGGCGGGACCGCUCGGUCUCGAGCCGCUGGGGAUUCGUCCCAGGCGAGCGCCCGCCAGAGUUAAACCAAACUCUUGUUAUUUAACCGGUCGUCUGAGUUAAAAUUUUGAAUAAAUCAAAACUUUCAACAACGGAUCUCUUGGUUCUCG
RNAcentral lists this unclassified non-coding RNA (235 nucleotides) under uncultured fungus. Its description in RNAcentral is "partial contains 18S rRNA, ITS1 and 5.8S rRNA". Lineage: Eukaryota; Fungi. The record is from RNAcentral.